AUGCAAGUCGAACGGCAGCGGGCCCUUCGGGGUGCCGGCGAGUGGCGAACGGGUGAGUAAUGCAUCGGAACGUACCCGGGAGUGGGGGAUAACCGGCCGAAAGGCUGGCUAAUACCGCAUGAACUCGGAAGAGCAAAGCGGGGGACCUUCGGGCCUCGCGCUCUCGGAGCGGCCGAUGUCCGAUUAGCUAGUUGGUGAGGUAAAGGCUCACCAAGGCGACGAUCGGUAGCGGGUCUGAGAGGACGAUCCGCCACACUGGGACUGAGACACGGCCCAGACUCCUACGGGAGGCAGCAGUGGGGAAUCUUGGACAAUGGGCGCAAGCCUGAUCCAGCAAUGCCGCGUGGGUGAAGAAGGCCUUCGGGUUGUAAAGCCCUUUCGGCGGGGAAGAAAUCGGCCGGGCGAAUAGUUCGGCUGGAUGACGGUACCCGCAGUAGAAGCACCGGCUAACUACGUGCCAGCAGCCGCGGUAAUACGUAGGGUGCGAGCGUUAAUCGGAAUUACUGGGCGUAAAGGAUGCGCAGGCGGCUGUGUAAGACCGGUGUGAAAUCCCCGGGCUCAACCUGGGAAUGGCGCUGGUGACUGCACAGCUCGAGUACGGUAGAGGGGGGUGGAAUUCCUGGUGUAGCAGUGAAAUGCGUAGAGAUCAGGAGGAACACCGAUGGCGAAGGCAGCCCCCUGGGCCUGUACUGACGCUCAUGCACGAAAGCGUGGGGAGCA
Molecule: ribosomal RNA, 720 nt
Filed under: uncultured bacterium
Lineage: Bacteria
Description: bacterial SSU rRNA
Rfam family: Bacterial small subunit ribosomal RNA
Source: RNAcentral